GACGAACGCUGGCGGCACGCUUAACACAUGCAAGUCGAACGGUGAAAGAAGCUUGCUUCUUGGAUCAGUGGCGGACGGGUGAGUAACACGUGAGCAACCUGCCUUUAAGAGGGGGAUAACGUCCGGAAACGGACGCUAAUACCGCAUAACAUAUGGGAUUCGCAUGUUUUCCUAUAUCAAAGAUUUAUCGCUUAAAGAUGGGCUCGCGUCUGAUUAGCUAGUUGGUGAGGUAACGGCUCACCAAGGCGACGAUCAGUAGCCGGACUGAGAGGUUGAACGGCCACAUUGGGACUGAGACACGGCCCAGACUCCUACGGGAGGCAGCAGUGGGGAAUAUUGCACAAUGGGCGCAAGCCUGAUGCAGCGAUGCCGCGUGAGGGAAGAAGGUUUUUCGGAUUGUAAACCUCUGUCUUCAGGGACGAUAAAUGACGGUAGUAAACGAAUAAGCCACGGCUAACUACGUG
Molecule: ribosomal RNA, 464 nt
Filed under: uncultured bacterium
Lineage: Bacteria
Description: bacterial SSU rRNA
Rfam family: Bacterial small subunit ribosomal RNA
Source: RNAcentral